Molecule: ribosomal RNA, 460 nt
Filed under: uncultured bacterium
Lineage: Bacteria
Description: partial 16S ribosomal RNA
Rfam family: Bacterial small subunit ribosomal RNA
Source: RNAcentral
CCUACGGGUGGCAGCAGUGAGGAAUAUUGGUCAAUGGACGAGAGCCUGAACCAGCCAAGCCGCGUGAAGGAUGACUGCCCUAUGGGUUGUAAACUUCUUUUAUAUGGGAAUAAAACACGGUACGUAUACCCUCCUGCAUGUAUCCUAUGAAUAAGGAUCGGCUAACUCCGUGCCAGCAGCCGCGGUAAUACGGAGGAUCCGAGCGUUAUCCGGAUUUAUUGGGUUUAAAGGGUGCGUAGGUGGAGUGGUAAGUCAGCUGGGAAAGUUCGGGGCUCAACCGUAGAAGUGCAGUUGAAACUGGCAGUCUUGAGUGCGGUAGAGGUGAGCGGAAUGCGUGGUGUAGCGGUGAAAUGCUUAGAUAUCGCGAAGAACUCCGAUUGCGAAGGCAGCUCACUGGACUGCAACUGACGCUGAGGCUCGAAAGUGUGGGGAUCGAACAGGAUUAGAUACCCUUGUAGUC